RNAcentral lists this small RNA (946 nucleotides) under Arabidopsis thaliana (thale cress). RNAcentral's name for it is "ATSL020750". Lineage: Eukaryota; Viridiplantae; Streptophyta; Magnoliopsida; Brassicales; Brassicaceae. The record is from RNAcentral.
GAAAAUAUAUAUCUUAUUUGUUGUUGUUUUUAAGACAUCAAUGCACCAUGCAUAAAACCCCCAAUAAGUCUGAUUCACUUAAUCUCAUUUCACAAGAUUGGAAGAAAAUAUUCAACAAUAUGAAUACAUAACGAGAAAUGUGUUCAUUUGCUUGUGGAUGUACCAAAACUUCGAGAAGCACGCUAAAUUAAUCUAGAAGGUCCCUUUAUUUAAAUCUUAUAUAUAAAUAAGCAUUUGUUAUAAGUUCAUCAUCAAUUAUGUCAAGACUCACUAUGACUACAGAGUGAUAUCCUACGAAAAUAGGGUUAGGAAUCCGUGAUUCGGCGAGAUUAUAGUAAAUAAAUUUUCCUUGUUCACCCAUUCAUUAGUAAUGAAGUAUGUCGGCUUCUAUCAGAUGUAACUCUUGCAAAACUUUUUCUAUUGUGUUGAUUCUUCGGACAUGUUUUAGAAUUCUUUUCUUCAUGAAAGGAUCCUCAGCGCAUCCAGACUUGUGAUCUCUGCAAUCAAACACCCUAACCAAUUCUCUGGGAAUUCCAUAUGUUUUGGUAUGGAGUAAAGCCUUUUCGAUCGUUAAUCCAUAACAGUGAUGCAUGUUCUUAGUUUCUGCACAUUUUUGAAGCUCUUCUAAAUCACUAGGAGGGUAGAUACCAAGUGCAUAGUGGCGGAUAAAACUUUUUUUUUCAAAUUGUGCAAUGCUAGUUUGUUGGGAUGUUUCUUCAUUUUCAAUGGUGCUCGAUGCUCUCGGUCACUUUGACUUUUGUUUAGGUGUUAUCUUUUUCUCGUAUCCUUUUGCUCUCUCUUUCACUUGUUCCAUUUCUUUUUGAUUAAACUCAUAAUAUUUGUUGCUCUUUGUUUGUUACAUGUAAUAAUCUAUUCUAUAUAUCUAAGAAAAAUACUUACAAAAAGAACAUUAUUAUCACAUAUGCACAGAAACCGCCAAAAUUGG